CCCGACUCGUUUUUCCACGCUGAUUCCUCCUGUGGCCAAAUCGGAGCCAAAAUCCUGGCCAAACGGCCGGAAUACGCGGCCGAAGACCAGCGGCGCCGCCGCGCCCCUUCUCGGUUUUUGCCUCCGAUGAGGCCUUUCCCGGCCUCCGUUUGAUGCAAUUUUUAUAUCACCGUGAUCACAAUUCUUUUCUCUACAGGUUGACCGGAGCCGAAUCACCAAAACACGAACCUCGCCAGAGAGCCGCCGCACCCGAGAGUGCCGCCGCCGGUAAGCUCCGUUUUUCCGUGAUUUUUUGGCCCCCCGAGGGCCCUAGGGUUGUUUUCUCGCAGGGACCGAUGCAAGUGUGGCCGAAUUCAGCCAAAAAUGGCCGAAAACAGCCAACCCGAGGCGAAUCGCCGCCGUGUCGGAGUUGCGAUAUUGGCCAAAAAGGGGCCCUGGGCCUAAUUUGAGAUUUUUUGGAACACGUGCAGGUACCGUUAGUGCGUUUCAGUUCCCCGGAAAAAAUUCAGGGAAAAUUAGGAACAGCCUGUAGGCGCACUGUGAAUCGUAUUCGAAUCCCGAAAACAAGUAAGGACCCCUCACCCUAUUUCCUAUCACGGUAUUAAAGUUCAAAAUGAUAAAACGGUAUUUCUUGAAUUAACGAAUGUGUGAAAUUGCUUAAGGUGGCUAAUGGAGCCCGAGUCUAGUGUGAUUGGUGAUUUACUGUUAUUUGGCCUGUUUACAGCUUUAAAUGCAGCAUGAGGUUUGAUGUGUUCAUUUUACAGAUUUGUGUGCAUAUACUACGUUUUUAUUAAUUAUGGGUUGAAUGACCGGGAUACUGAUACUGUAUGUUGUCUGUUUGGCAUGAAUUACGAUUUGCUUGUUUAAAUGUGAAUUGAUGAUGCUGACUGAGGAAAAGGAAAAUAAAAGAUUGUGUAGACUGAUAAUUGUAUUAUGGGGUCAGCCUGACUAGAUAUCCUGGGAGAUGGUGGACGGACCGGGUCUGUAGGGAACCCUACCGGGAUUAUGGUCUCACAUGCCGGACGGGGCAUGGAGAUCUUAUGGUUUUGGCGCCCAUACCGGACGGGGUAUGGGGACGGCCCGUUUCACCCUCAUACCGGACGGGGUAUUGAGGUUUAUGGUUUUGGCGCCCAUACCGGACGGGGUAUGGGGACGGCCCGUUUCACGCUCAUACCGGACGGGGUAUUGAGGUUUAUGGUUUUGGCGCCCAUACCGGACGGGGUAUGGGGACGGCCCUGGAAACUGAUUAUGAAUGUUAAAGGUUAACGGGUAGCGGGACCCCUAUGGACCCCCACGGAUACUAGUAAGCUGGUAAAUGAGAAAAAGAUAUGUUGUAUAAUGAUUGAAUUACAAGAGGCGUGAUAAGUGUUAUGUUUUACAGCUUAUAUUAUUCUAUGAUUAUGAUAAUGUUAUUGUUUUUCUUAUAUUGUUUCAUAAAUUCCACCGAGGUAAGUGGAUGGUAAAGGUUUUAUCAUAAAUAAAAGAAUUUGUUGUAAAACAUGCUCCAUGGGUCCUUUGUGUUUUCUACCCACCUUUACCUCCGUGACGGUGAGAUAUCGUGAUGUUCUUAUUGGGCUAGUGUAGCUCACUCCUUAUUUAACCAUUUCAGAUCAGGAAGACAUGGUUCCCGAGCCCGUUCCGCAGGAGGACGACGAAAGGGAUGCCUAGAGACUCUGUAGUCAUAAUCAUAGCUUUAUUUUCGAGUUUCUCUUUUAGUUAGUUUAAUCUUUUAUAUUUUAAGUACGUUUUUGGUUUUCGUGUAAGGGAUGUUAACUGAAAUUUUGAUCUCGCUUCCGCAUUUGAUAUAAUUAAAUACUCAUUUCAUUUUAA
RNAcentral lists this long non-coding RNA (1830 nucleotides) under Carica papaya (papaya). RNAcentral describes it as "long non-coding RNA (CPAP_LNC010634)". Lineage: Eukaryota; Viridiplantae; Streptophyta; Magnoliopsida; Brassicales; Caricaceae. The record is from RNAcentral.